UCCAAAAGCAAUACUUUCAGCUCCUCCUGUUGUUGAGCCGAAAGCCUGGCACUAAUAUAAGUCGAUCGCUUGUCUUCAUCAGAUCCUAAGUUUACCUCAAUUAGUGGAUCCUAAGUUUCCAAUUUCUUCUCACCGACUUUGAUAGAUGACUCUUCUAAGUUCAAUUCAGUUGUUCGCCUCCUUAAUUCAUCUGAUAUUUCUUUAUCGGCCUUAACCGCCGAUCUCACCAUAUUUUUCGUAUCGGCUUUAACAGCCAAUUUUACCACAUCAUCAUUACGGUCAUUUCAACCGCCUUCCUAACUUUUUUGUUAUUGGCCUAUUUGGCGGAAUCAUUUCAUAAUCGAUC
This 346-nucleotide long non-coding RNA is filed under the name Ananas comosus (pineapple). RNAcentral describes it as "long non-coding RNA (ACOM_LNC025984)". Lineage: Eukaryota; Viridiplantae; Streptophyta; Magnoliopsida; Poales; Bromeliaceae. The record is from RNAcentral.